CCUACGGGUGGCAGCAGUGAGGAAUAUUGGUCAAUGGCCGAGAGGCUGAACCAGCCAAGUCGCGUGAGGGAAGACGGCCCUACGGGUUGUAAACCUCUUUUGUCGGGGAGCAAAGCGAGUCACGUGUGACUCAUUGAGAGUACCCGAAGAAAAAGCAUCGGCUAACUACGUGCCAGCAGCCGCGGUAAUACGUAGGGAGCGAGCGUUGUCCGGAAUUACUGGGUGUAAAGGGAGCGUAGGCGGGGAUGCAAGUUGGGUGUUAAAUCUACCGGCUCAACUGGUAGUCGCACUCAAAACUGCAGCUCUUGAGUGAAGUAGAGGCAGGCGGAAUUCCUAGUGUAGCGGUGAAAUGCGUAGAUAUUAGGAGGAACACCAGUGGCGAAGGCGGCCUGCUGGGCUUUUACUGACGCUGAGGCUCGAAAGUGUGGGGAGCAAACAGGAUUAGAUACCCGAGUAGUC
This 459-nucleotide ribosomal RNA is filed under the name uncultured bacterium. RNAcentral describes it as "partial 16S ribosomal RNA". It matches the Rfam family "Bacterial small subunit ribosomal RNA", at positions 338 to 795 of the family's 1533-position model. The record is from RNAcentral.